GCCAGGGUGGUAUAGUGGUUUGAACGUUGGACUAUGAUCCUGGAGACCAGGGUUUGAAUCUCUGUUCAGCCA
Phrynosoma platyrhinos (Desert horned lizard) is the source of this 72-nucleotide non-coding RNA. The record is from the annotation of a GenBank genome assembly. Lineage: Eukaryota; Metazoa; Chordata; Lepidosauria; Squamata; Phrynosomatidae.